GAUGAAGAACGCAGCGAAAUGCGAUACGUAAUGUGAAUUGCAGAAUUCAGUGAAUCAUCGAGUCUUUGAACGCACAUUGCGCCCCCUGGUAUUCCGGGGGGCAUGCCUGUCCGAGCGUCAUUGCUGCCCUCAAGCACGGCUUGUGUGUUGGGCCUCCGUCCUCCUCCCGGGGGACGGGCCCGAAAGGCAGCGGCGGCACCGCGUCCGGUCCUCGAGCGUAUGGGGCUUCGUCACCCGCUCUGUAGGCCCGGCCGGCGCUUGCCGAUCAACCCAAAUUUUUAUCCAGGUUGACCUCGGAUCAGGUAGGGAUACCCGCUGAACUUAAGCAUAUCAAUAAGCGGAGGA
This 345-nucleotide unclassified non-coding RNA is filed under the name soil metagenome. RNAcentral's name for it is "partial contains 5.8S ribosomal RNA, internal transcribed spacer 2, and large subunit ribosomal RNA". The stretch from base 1 to 120 matches the Rfam family "5.8S ribosomal RNA", at positions 35 to 154 of the family's 154-position model. The record is from RNAcentral.